This is a long non-coding RNA of Solanum stenotomum, 989 nucleotides long. RefSeq lists it as uncharacterized. The record is from RefSeq and is a predicted model, not a curated record. Lineage: Eukaryota; Viridiplantae; Streptophyta; Magnoliopsida; Solanales; Solanaceae. The transcript is spliced from 2 exons.
AGCUGAACCUUCAUGAGUGCUGAAUGAUCCAAGCCUUACACCAGGAGUAGAGGGAUUAGGCCAUACACCAAGAUCAUCUGAUCCAGCCCUAGGCCACUCCUCAGCAGUUGGUCUAGUAAUGGAAAGAGGCUGAAGGGGUGGCAAACAAGCCCGUGCUUUGCUGUUCCAUUGUGGUUUGGCACUGGACUUGGUAGGGGACCUAUCGGACCACGAAAUAGACCUUGCAUAUGUUUUCCUAUUCCCACCAGCUGGUAACCUAUCCUUCUCAUCUACCUCCAACAUUUCUAAACUUCAAAGUAACCAAUCACAGCCAUAUAGGGUGUGUAUGUUCAAGAAAGGCUCAAUUUGGGAUAUGCUGACCAUAGGGACAAGACACCCAAGUCUAAACUAAAAUUGAACAAAUUCAAUGACAAACCAGAUGACCUAUACCUAUAAGAAACACAAAGAAAUCAUCAAAAACUGAACUUGAGGUGAAAAAGAUCAAUUUUUUAUCUGGAAUUCAAGAAACCCACAUAAGAAUCAUUCAAGAAAAAGUAACAACAACCUCAAAAAUGCCUCUUUUGGUGUCUGCUCAAAGUUGAAACAAAGAAAUGACCAAAAGUGAACUUUGAGAAAAUUAUCUUUUUAUCUAGAAUUGAAAUGAAAUUUCCCUUUGUAGCUGUUCAAAGUUGAAUCAAACAACUUAAAGAUUCAAACUUUACGACAUUUCCUCACCUAAAACCCUUGAACACGACACUAGUCUAAUAUCAACACGUUUAAGAAUAAAUCAAACACAAAGAAGACUUGGUAAACGUCCUGAAACAACGGCAAUUAUGGAGGGGGACAGAAAUUCAACGUAAAAUAAAAUAAAAAAUUCCAUUCAAAUAUUGAAGCUAUUGAAUUACAUAAAAUAUUACUAAUUAAUAGAAAAUAAAAAACAGUAGUCAUAAGAAACUCACUGGAAAGGCAGACAUUUGAUUCUUGAAAAAAUAUCCAGAAAAUUACUGCAA